GCAGUGAGGAAUAUUGGACAAUGGGUUAGCGCCUGAUCCAGCCAUCCCGCGUGAAGGACGACGGCCCUAUGGGUUGUAAACUUCUUUUGUAUAGGGAUAAACCUUUCCACGUGUGGAAAGCUGAAGGUACUAUACGAAUAAGCACCGGCUAACUCCGUGCCAGCAGCCGCGGUAAUACGGAGGGUGCAAGCGUUAUCCGGAUUUAUUGGGUUUAAAGGGUCCGUAGGCGGACUCGUAAGUCAGUGGUGAAAUCUCAUAGCUCAACUAUGAAACUGCCAUUGAUACUGCGGGUCUUGAGUAAGGUAGAAGUGGCUGGAAUAAGUAGUGUAGCGGUGAAAUGCAUAGAUAUUACUUAGAACACCAAUUGCGAAGGCAGGUCACUAUGUCUUAACUGACGCUGAUGGACGAAAGCGUGGGGAGCGAACAGGAUUAGA
Molecule: ribosomal RNA, 434 nt
Filed under: uncultured bacterium
Lineage: Bacteria
Description: bacterial SSU rRNA
Rfam family: Bacterial small subunit ribosomal RNA
Source: RNAcentral